AUGAGUUAAGUAUAAACCCCUUAACAAGUAUCAAUUGGAGGGCAAGUCUGGUGCCAGCAGCCGCGGUAAUUCCAGCUCCAAUAGCGUAUAUUAAAGUUGUUGCAGUUAAAAAGCUCGUAGUUGGAUUUCUGUUAAUACUUGCAUGUGCUAUCUUCGAUACGCGUGUAAUAUUAGCAUCAUCCGCGUCACCUUCGGUGUGCGGAACUUUACUUUGAGAAAAUUAGAGUGCUUAAAGCAGGCUUUUGCCUUGAAUACUCCAGCAUGGAAUAAUAUGAAGGAUUUUUAUCUUUCUUAUUGGUUCUAAGAUAAAAAUAAUGGUUAAUAGGGACAGUUGGGGGCAUUUGUAUUUAACAGUCAGAGGUGAAAUUCUUAGAUUUGUUAAAGACAAACUAGUGCGAAAGCAUUUGCCAAGGAUGUUCUCAUUAAUCAAGAACGAAAGUUAGGGGAUCGAAGACGAUCAGAUACCGUCGUAGU
Molecule: ribosomal RNA, 474 nt
Filed under: Cryptosporidium sp. shrew genotype II
Lineage: Eukaryota; Apicomplexa; Conoidasida; Eucoccidiorida; Cryptosporidiidae
Description: SSU rRNA
Rfam family: Eukaryotic small subunit ribosomal RNA
Source: RNAcentral